GUCUACGGCCAUACCACCCUGAACGCACCCGAUCUCGUCUGAUCUCGGAAGCUAAGCAGGGUCGGGCCUGGUUAGUACUUGGAUGGGAGAAAUUAUGCGUGUUGGAAACCACUGGUGCAGAGGGUG
This 126-nucleotide ribosomal RNA is filed under the name Mustela putorius furo (domestic ferret). Lineage: Eukaryota; Metazoa; Chordata; Mammalia; Carnivora; Mustelidae. The record is from RNAcentral.